Molecule: ribosomal RNA, 125 nt
Filed under: Pezizomycotina sp.
Lineage: Eukaryota; Fungi; Ascomycota
Description: partial small subunit ribosomal RNA
Rfam family: Eukaryotic small subunit ribosomal RNA
Source: RNAcentral
CCUUUGUACACACCGCCCGUCGCUACUACCGAUUGAAUGGCUCAGUGAGGCUUUCGGACUGGCCCAGAGAGGUGGGCAACUACCACUCAGGGCCGAAAACUUGGUCAAACUUGGUCAUUUAGAGG